AGUAGGCUGAGCAAUUGCGCACGCGCAAGCGUGUGAGGAAAGUCCGAGCAUCACACAGCAGGGUAACGGCUAACAGCCGCCGAGGGCGACCUUAGGGAAAGUGCAUAGAGAGAUACCGCCGCUUUUGCGGUAAGGGUGGAAAGGCGAGGUAAGAGCUCACCGGCGUGCAGGUGACUGUACGGCCAAGUAAACCCUACCCGAUGCAACAUCGACCGAAGUUGUCAGCUGGGCAGAUACUUCGACGGAUGGCUUCAGCGUAUCGGCAACGGUGCGCGCAGAUAGAUAAUUGCUUUAAACGACAGAACUCGGCUUACAGGCCUACUCA
This 325-nucleotide RNase P RNA is filed under the name human gut metagenome. Its description in RNAcentral is "Bacterial RNase P class A". It matches the Rfam family "Bacterial RNase P class A". Rfam says of the family: Ribonuclease P (RNase P) is a ubiquitous endoribonuclease, found in archaea, bacteria and eukarya as well as chloroplasts and mitochondria. Its best characterised activity is the generation of mature 5'-ends of tRNAs by cleaving the 5'-leader elements of precursor-tRNAs. The record is from RNAcentral.